RNAcentral lists this ribosomal RNA (1977 nucleotides) under human gut metagenome. Its description in RNAcentral is "bacterial LSU rRNA". It matches the Rfam family "Bacterial large subunit ribosomal RNA", at positions 1 to 1983 of the family's 2925-position model. The record is from RNAcentral.
GAAAGUAAGAAAGGGCGUAUGGCGGAUGCCUAGGCUCACGGAGGCGAUGAAGGACGUGAUAAGCUGCGAUAAGCUUCGGGUAGGUGCAAAUAACCCUUGAUCCGGAGAUUUCCGAAUGGGACAACCUAGCCGUCUGAAGGACGGUUACUCAAUCUUCAAGAUUGAGAGCUAACGCAGGGAACUGAAACAUCUUAGUACCUGCAGGAAGAGAAAAUAAAUGAAUGAUUCCCCCAGUAGUGGCGAGCGAACGGGGAACAGCCCAAACCGUUGACGUCGCAAGGCGCCAGCGGGGUUGUAGGACCGCGACAUUGUAUGCAAAUCGUGAACAGAACACUUUGGAAAAUGUGACCAUAGACGGUGAUAGUCCAGUAUGUGAAGCGAAAUGCAGCAUAGCGGUAUCCUGAGUAACGCGGGACACGAGGAAUCCUGCGCGAAUCUGCCGGGACCAUCCGGUAAGGCUAAAUACUCCCGUGAGACCGAUAGCGAACGAGUACUGUGAAGGAAAGGUGAAAAGAACCCCGAGCAGGGGAGUGAAAUAGUUCCUGAAACCAUGCGCCUACAAGCGGUCGGAGCAUCUUACGAUGUGACGGCGUGCCUUUUGCAUAAUGAUCCUACGAGUUACCGUCACUGGCGAGGUUGAGUGUCAUGAGACACGUAGCCGCAGUGAAAGCGAGCCUGAAUAGGGCGCACAGUCAGUGGGGGUAGACGCGAAACCAAGUGAUCUACACUUGGCCAGGAUGAAGUCCCGGUAACACGGGAUGGAGGUCCGCACCAAUAAGCGUUGAAAAGCUUCUGGAUGAGCCGAGUGUAGGAGUGAAAGGCCAAUCAAACUUGGAGAUAGCUCGUACUCCCCGAAAGGCAUUUAGGUGCCGCGUCGGAUGGUCACCGUGAGAGGUAGAGCGACCGAUAGGACAAGAGGGCUUCACCGCCUAUCGAGUCCUGACGAACUCCGAAUGCUCACGGUCUGCAGUCCGGCAGUAAGGGGGCGGGUGCUAAGGUCCGUCCCCGAGAGGAGAAGAAUCCAGACCGCCGUCUAAGGUCCCGGAGUUCUGCCUGAGUUAGUCUAACGAAGUCUGGUCCCUAUGACAGCUAGGAUGUUGGCUUGGAAGCAGCCAUUCAUUCAAAGAGUGCGUAACAGCUCACUAGUCGAGGGUCCGGGCAUGGAUAAUAAUCGGGUAUAAGGCAGACACCGAAGGCGCGGGAUAGCAUUUAAAAAAGUAUCGGUAGGGGAGCAUACUCACAGCGUCGAAUGGUGUACGUAAGUUAUCCUGGAGCGGUGAGUAAAGCAAAUGUAGGAAUAAGUAACGAUAAGGAGGGUUAGAUUCCCUCCCGCUGUAAGACCAAGGUUUCCCGGGCAAUGCCAAUCAGCCCGGGGUCAGUCGGGUCCUAAGUCUAAGCCGAACGGCGAUGGCGAUGGCAGAGACGGUUAAUAUUCCGUCACUGCCGCAUGGGGCGAUGUGGAGACGGAGCAGUGAAACCACCGCGGGGCGACGGAAGUCCCCGUUGAAGAGUGUAGGCGUUGAGGAUGGCAGGCAAAUCCACCAUCCGAGCUGAACUUGAUAGUAUGGAGUCUUCUUCGGAAGAAUCCAAUAGUGUGGGUAAUCAUACUCCCGAGAAAAUCCGCUAAGCUUAACCCAUGCGGCACCCGUACCGCAAACGGACACACGUGGUCGGGUAGAACAUACUAAGGCGUUGAGAGAUUCAUGGUUAAGGAACUAGGCAAAUUGACCCUGUAACUUCGGGAUAAAGGGUCCUCGUGAUGAGCGAGGCGCAGAGAAUAGGUCCAGGCAACUGUUUAACAAAAACACAGGGCUGUGCAAACUCGAAAGAUGACGUAUACAGCCUGACACCUGCCCGGUGCCGGAAGGUUAAGAGGAGAUGUCACUCGCAAGAGGAAGCAUUGAAUUGAAGCCCCGGUAAACGGCGGCCGUAACUAUAACGGUCCUAAGGUAGCGAAAUUCCUUGUCGGGUAAGUUC